UGAAAAGAACUUUGGAGAGAGAGUUAAAAGCACGUGAAGCCGUUGAAAGGGAAACGCGCUCGGCUAGCAAUGCGCCAUGACGGUUCAGCCGUUUUGUGUGGCAUCUCGGCUGCUGUCGGAUCCGAAUGGACCGCUGUGGUUGUGCUUGCUGCACGAAAUGUGGUGCACUCUGUCAUGGUGCGCGUCAGCGUCGGUUUGUGGCGGGCGACAAGGCUCGGCGGAAGGUAGCUCGGGGCUUGCUCCGAGUGUUAAGCCGCCGAUGCUGGGUUCGCCGCAGACCGAGGAGAGAGAGUAUCGUCGCAGCGCAUGCCGCAAGGCUAGCUGCCCGCGGUCAGGUUUGCGUCACGGGCUGAGGACUGCACGCAGUGCUUGGCUCGGCGGUGUGACUUGGCUGUGGAGCAGUAUAAAUGCGCUCAGGACGCUGGCGUCCAAAUGGCCGUGCGCGACCCGUCUUGAAACACGG
RNAcentral lists this ribosomal RNA (463 nucleotides) under Arturia sueziana. Its description in RNAcentral is "eukaryotic LSU rRNA". It matches the Rfam family "Eukaryotic large subunit ribosomal RNA", at positions 365 to 664 of the family's 3401-position model. Lineage: Eukaryota; Metazoa; Porifera; Calcarea; Clathrinida; Clathrinidae. The record is from RNAcentral.